This 253-nucleotide ribosomal RNA is filed under the name uncultured prokaryote. RNAcentral describes it as "partial 16S ribosomal RNA". It matches the Rfam family "Bacterial small subunit ribosomal RNA", at positions 525 to 777 of the family's 1533-position model. The record is from RNAcentral.
ACAGAGGCCCCAAGCGUUACUGAGAAUCACUGGGUUUAAAGGGUGCGUAGGUGGCGCGUUAAGUCCGUUGUGAAAUCCCUUGGCUCAACCAAGGAAUGGCUUCGGAUACUGGCGUGCUUGAGGCCGGUAUGGGUCACUGGAACUGACGGUGGAGCGGUGAAAUGCGUAGAUAUCGGGAGGAACACCAGUGGCGAAGGCGAGUCUCUGGCCUAAUACUGACGCUGAUGCUCGAAAGCUAGGGGAGCAAACGGGA